AUAAUGGGUCAGCGACUUAUAUUCUGUAGCAAGGUUAACCGAAUAGGGGAGCCGAAGGGAAACCGAGUCUUAACUGGGCGUUAAGUUGCAGGGUAUAGACCCGAAACCCGGUGAUCUAGCCAUGGGCAGGUUGAAGGUUGGGUAACACUAACUGGAGGACCGAACCGACUAAUGUUGAAAAAUUAGCGGAUGACUUGUGGCUGGGGGUGAAAGGCCAAUCAAACCGGGAGAUAGCUGGUUCUCCCCGAAAGCUAUUUAGGUAGCGCCUCGUGAAUUCAUCUCCGGGGGUAGAGCACUGUUUCGGCAAGGGGGUCAUCCCGACUUACCAACCCGAUGCAAACUGCGAAUACCGGAGAAUGUUAUCACGGGAGACACACGGCGGGUGCUAACGUCCGUCGUGAAGAGGGAAACAACCCAGACCGCCAGCUAAGGUCCCAAAGUCAUGGUUAAGUGGGAAACGAUGUGGGAAGGCCCAGACAGCCAGGAUGUUGGCUUAGAAGCAGCCAUCAUUUAAAGAAAGCGUAAUAGCUCACUGGUCGAGUCGGCCUGCGCGGAAGAUGUAACGGGGCUAAACCAUGCACCGAAGCUGCGGCAGCGACGCUGAUGCGUUGUUGGGUAGGGGAGCGUUCUGUAAGCCUGCGAAGGUGUGCUGUGAGGCAUGCUGGAGGUAUCAGAAGUGCGAAUGCUGACAUAAGUAACGAUAAAGCGGGUGAAAAGCCCGCUCGCCGGAAGACCAAGGGUUCCUGUCCAACGUUAAUCGGGGCAGGGUGAGUCGACCCCUAAGGCGAGGCCGAAAGGCGUAGUCGAUGGGAAACAGGUUAAUAUUCCUGUACUUGGUGUUACUGCGAAGGGGGGACGGAGAAGGCUAUGUUGGCCGGGCGACGGUUGUCCCGGUUUAAGCGUGUAGGCUGGUUUUCCAGGCAAAUCCGGAA
RNAcentral lists this ribosomal RNA (932 nucleotides) under Escherichia coli. Its description in RNAcentral is "partial 23S ribosomal RNA". It matches the Rfam family "Bacterial large subunit ribosomal RNA", at positions 612 to 1547 of the family's 2925-position model. The record is from RNAcentral. Lineage: Bacteria; Pseudomonadati; Pseudomonadota; Gammaproteobacteria; Enterobacterales; Enterobacteriaceae.